RNAcentral lists this transfer RNA (73 nucleotides) under Vicugna pacos (alpaca). RNAcentral's name for it is "tRNA-Ala (AGC) (tRNA-Ala-AGC-448-1)". It matches the Rfam family "tRNA". From Rfam's summary of the family: Transfer RNA (tRNA) molecules are approximately 80 nucleotides in length. Lineage: Eukaryota; Metazoa; Chordata; Mammalia; Artiodactyla; Camelidae. The record is from RNAcentral.
GGAGGGUGUAGCUCAGUGGUAGAGCACAUGCUUAGCAUGCACGAGGUCCUGGGUUCAACCCCCAGCACCUCCA